This is a long non-coding RNA of Vidua chalybeata, 1058 nucleotides long. RefSeq lists it as uncharacterized. The transcript has 3 exons. The record is from RefSeq and is a predicted model, not a curated record. Lineage: Eukaryota; Metazoa; Chordata; Aves; Passeriformes; Viduidae.
GGCCGGGGCUCGGCCGGCGCCUGCCUGGCGCCUGCCUGCCGCCUGCCUGCCGCCUGCCUGCCUGCCGCCUGCCUGCCGCCUGCCUGCCUGCCGCCUGCCUGCCGCCGCACGCCCAGCGGGGCGCUUGGAGUGGCCGUAAUGAAACAAAGGCCUGUGUCUUGUGCCUCCCGCGCCGCCGUAGGCAGCGGGAGAGCGCUAGUUGUGGGGGUUACCCCGGAACGCACCGAAGAGGUGCGUGAGGUAGAAAUCACUCAGCUGUGAUCAUCUGAUUGGAGAUGAAAGAAAUAUACGAGUUCUCAGUAACAGUUAUUUUUUUUUUUUUUUUAAGAAGAAAAACAGCAGUAAGGAAGAUCAAGGGAAUAAAAAGGAAAUAAAAUGAGGAGACCGUGGCUCGAGUAAAUCCCCUUCAAGUGCAGUGACCGCUUUCUUUCGGCUGUGAGAGCCCCUCGCUCUCUCAGGCCGAAGGAGAGGAGGGGUCUGAGGAGCCGCUCGGGGUGAACAACUCCAAAAUCCAAACAGAAGAGAUAACACCUGCCAGGUCCAUGAGGAAUUGCAUAGGCUAGCUAAGGUCUUCCUAUCCUACCCAGUCUGAAAGCAGCAGAGCUUUGGGAUACCACAAGUUAUGGAGAUUUUCAAAGAAAUCUUGCUUUCACUUUCUUAAACAUCACAGGCUGAAAGCAUGGAAGAGGUGAUGAAAAUAACAAGACAAGCAAAGCAGAGUGAACAUUUGCACUUCUAUCUUAAAGUGCAUUUCAAGACCCUGUAAAAAUGUGUCUUCUGACUUGUGCAGACCAGGCCUGGGUGUGUUGCUGCCCUGGCCAACAUGAGGGAGUGCAAGUGUGAGUGCUUCGCUUCUUGUCCUCAUGGCUUGGAAAGGCACACAAGAUGCGGGGGUCUGCAUGCCAGAGGAGAUUGGGAAAAGCAACGACCACUCAAUAUGAGUGCGAAUGCAAGUCCGUUUAUUGUCUACAAAGCCAACUUAUUGCAUGAGACAGGCAUGUAUUUCCCCUUGUGGAUCUUCCGACAAAAACUAGAGACUGUGAAAAAUAAUAUCUGAC